UUACUUUAACCAUGAAAUCACAAUAACUGCUUACUUUUUGGCUGUAGGACACAAGUAAAAGGAGAAGAAUGCUGCUCAGCUGGGUCGGCGGUCACACUACUUAUUCAAGAAGCUCUUGGAUAUCAUCGGCAUGUAUAAAGCACGGAGUCGUUCCUUGAUGGACGUGAUGACCUGGCACCAAAACCGCUUAAUGUGUAUGAAGCUGUGUCUGCAUCGAGGGAAGAACCCAGCACUGAAAUGACACAAAUGAAAGAGGACGUCUUCUCUGCUGGGUCUGCGACACUACUUAUCCUAGGAAUCCUCAAACAUCAGGAUGUAGGAAACUUAUGGUGAGAUGCCAAGAGCCGCC
This is a long non-coding RNA of Engraulis encrasicolus (European anchovy), 349 nucleotides long. RefSeq lists it as uncharacterized. The record is from RefSeq and is a predicted model, not a curated record. The transcript has 4 exons. NCBI's taxonomy places the organism in Eukaryota, Metazoa, Chordata, Actinopteri, Clupeiformes, Engraulidae.